RNAcentral lists this ribosomal RNA (443 nucleotides) under uncultured bacterium. RNAcentral's name for it is "partial 16S ribosomal RNA". It matches the Rfam family "Bacterial small subunit ribosomal RNA", at positions 338 to 795 of the family's 1533-position model. The record is from RNAcentral.
CCUACGGGUGGCAGCAGUGGGGGAUAUUGGACAAUGGGGGGAACCCUGAUCCAGCGACGCCGCGUGCGUGAAGAAGUAUUUCGGUAUGUAAAGCUCUGUCAGCAGGGAAGAAAGAAAUGACGGUACCUGACCAUGAAGCCCCGGCUAACUACGUGCCAGCAGCCGCGGUAAUACGUAGGGGGCAAGCGUUAUCCAGAAUUACUGGGUGUACAGGGAGCGUAGACGGUUAAGUAAGUCUGGAGUGAAAGGCAGGGGCUCAACCCCGGGACUGCUCUGGAAACUAUUUAACUUGAGUGCAGGAGAGGUAAGCGGAAUUCCUAGUGUAGCGGUGAAAUGCGUAGAUAUUAGGAGGAACACCAGUGGCGAAGGCGGCUUACUGGACUGUAACUGACGUUGAGGCUCGAAAGCGUGGGGAGCAAACAGGAUUAGAUACCCUGGUAGUC